Molecule: ribosomal RNA, 253 nt
Filed under: uncultured bacterium
Lineage: Bacteria
Description: partial 16S ribosomal RNA
Rfam family: Bacterial small subunit ribosomal RNA
Source: RNAcentral
UACGUAGGGGGCAAGCGUUGUCCGGAUUCAUUGGGCGUAAAGAGCGUGUAGGCGGCCAGGUAGGUCUGCUGUGAAAACCCGAGGCUUAACCUCGGGACGCCGGCGGAAACCAUCUGGCUAGAGUCCGGAAGAGGAGAGUGGAAUUCCUGGUGUAGCGGUGAAAUGCGCAGAUAUCAGGAAGAACACCCAUGGCGAAGGCAGCUCUCUGGGACGGUACUGACGCUGAGACGCGAAAGCGUGGGGAGCGAACAGG